RNAcentral lists this ribosomal RNA (424 nucleotides) under uncultured bacterium. Its description in RNAcentral is "bacterial SSU rRNA". It matches the Rfam family "Bacterial small subunit ribosomal RNA", at positions 356 to 773 of the family's 1533-position model. The record is from RNAcentral.
AGGGAAUCUUCCGCAAUGGACAAAAGUCUGACGGAGCAACGCCGCGUGAGUGAUGAAGGUUUUCGGAUCGUAAAGCUCUGUUGCCAGGGAAGAACGUCCGUUAGAGUAACUGCUAACGGAGUGACGGUACCUGAGAAGAAAGCCCCGGCUAACUACGUGCCAGCAGCCGCGGUAAUACGUAGGGGGCAAGCGUUGUCCGGAAUUAUUGGGCGUAAAGCGCGCGCAGGCGGCUGUUUAAGUCUGGUGGUUAAUCCUGGGGCUCAACACCGGGUCGCACUGGAAACUGGACAGCUUGAGUGCAGAAGAGGAGAGUGGAAUUCCACGUGUAGCGGUGAAAUGCGUAGAGAUGUGGAGGAACACCAGUGGCGAAGGCGACUCUCUGGGCUGUAACUGACGCUGAGGCGCGAAAGCGUGGGGAGCAAAC